AUUGAACGCUGGCGGCAGGCUUAACACAUGCAAGUCGAACGGUAGCACAGUGGAGCUUUCUUCUUGGGUGACGAGCGGCGGGUGGGUGAGUAGUGUCUGGCAAACUCUCUGCUGGGGGGGGAUAUCUAGUGGAAACGGUAGCUAAUACAGCAUAACGUCGCCAGCCCAAAGAGGGGGAGAUUCUGGCCUCUUGCCAUCAGAUGUGCCCAGAUGGGAUUGGCUAGUAGGUGGGGUAAUGGCUCACCUAGGCGACGAGCCCUAGAUGGUCUGAGAGGAGGAGAGGCGACAUGGGAGGUGGGACAGGGUCAAGACUCCUACGAGAGGCAGCAGUGGGCAAUAUUGGACAAUAGGGGGAAGCCUUAUGCAGCGAGGCCGCGUGUGUGAAAAAGGCCUUCGGGUUGGAAAGCACUUUUUGCGGGGAGAAACGUCGUGAGCUUAAUACGUUGAUUGAGUGACGGUAAUCGGAGAAGAAGCACCGGCUAACUCCGUG
Molecule: ribosomal RNA, 490 nt
Filed under: uncultured bacterium
Lineage: Bacteria
Description: partial 16S ribosomal RNA
Rfam family: Bacterial small subunit ribosomal RNA
Source: RNAcentral